This is a non-coding RNA of Candidatus Burkholderia verschuerenii, 171 nucleotides long. The record is from Rfam. Lineage: Bacteria; Pseudomonadati; Pseudomonadota; Betaproteobacteria; Burkholderiales; Burkholderiaceae.
GGAAGGGCGACCGACCGUGGGGAGGAAGCGUGGAGCGAAACUGCGGGCCGAUGAACAAGAACCGGAUAGAAGGCGCUGCCGAGCAGGGCGAGCGGGCAAGAAGCCGCGAAGCUCUUGUGGUCAACGCAAAGCAGCGUAGAUUCGGCGGUCGUGCAGGGAAGGAGUGUGUUC